CUUCGGUGAAAAACAACCUCGCGCGUACAUCAACCCAUCAGUCAGUGCUGCCUUUUAGCUCAAAGAGGCAAUAGAUGGAAUGCUGGAAGCAGGGAUAAAGAAGAACAGCAUAGGCUACGCAUUUGUGCUUUUUACUCCACGUCUCUUUGAAACUAUAUUCCCUUUGGCUAAAUGGAUUCUGCCAUCAUUCCGUUCAAUGACGACGGUGACUUUAGUUAACGGGCGUGAGACAUAAUUUACUUUAUUUGUGAAUUGACCGAAAAGACCGAAAAAAUUACGUACUUGUUUACAAAUGCAUGUUUACUCGGGGAUUGCAAAAGACUCCGUUCUUAUUUGAUCAUAUCCGAAAACUACUGAUACUUAAGAUUGCAAAGUGUUGUGGACGAAAGGACCUGGCGUAGCUACCAACUAGAAGUAACUUGAAUACACAAAUGCUGUUGCUUCAUUUGGGACGAUAAGCAAAUUAUGGCCUACGUUCCGCUGGAUAUUUUUAUGUUCGGUUUAAUAUUGCUGACAUUUUGACAUUCUUGUCGACUUUUCGAAAAACAGCGGAAUUAGCAACGUGUUCAAUUUGCAGUUGAAAUAGUGGCCACAUCGGAUUAUUUUUGUAUCGCUUUUUUAUUCCAGAUUAUAUAUGUCACUUGUGAGGUGAAUUUUAAUUUCAAUAUCAGCCUAUGGUUAUAACCUGUGGUUAUGUUGCCUAUUUAAAACUCUAUUUCUAUUAGGACUGAAAGGACACGUGAUUCGGAUCAUAGCAACCCAUUAAAUUGAGAACUGACCUUUGUCCCACCUUUCUUAGCGAAAUCACUGUGGAUUUAGAAGCAAAAAGGAUUGUACUCAAGUAAAACUAUAAAGAAAAGGGUGUUUUCAAAGGUCAGUCUUUCCGUCAAAAUCUAUGAUCAGCUCGGUGUGUGUUUCGAGUUUCCGUGGGCGCAAGUCUGGCAACAAACCUCCGUCUAAAACAUGUCUGAAGGAACAGAUGACCAGGGGGGAAGACUCGGACAAAAUAGUCAUCAACGUCGGUGGCACGCGACACGAAACCUACAAGAGCACUCUUAGGACCCUCCCGCGUACCCGCUUGGCCUGGCUUGCCGAUCCCGACCCCCAGGAAAACUCGGAUGCGGACACCGGGAAGGUCCCAACGAGCGAGUUAUUUUUCGACCGUCACCCGGGCAUAUUCGCCUACGUAUUGAACUAUUACCGGACUGGCAAGCUCCAUUGCCCGGCCGAUGUUUGCGGGCCCUUGUUCGAGGAGGAGCUGGCGUUUUGGGGCAUAGAUGAAACGGACGUGGAGCCUUGCUGCUGGAUGACAUACCGCCAGCACAGGGAUGCAGAAGAAGCACUCGAUAUAUUCGAACCUCCAGACCCGGACGACACCGAAGACGACAAGGAAUUGCCCAGCCAGGACAGGUCACGGAGCUGCUGCGAAGUUUGGCAACCAAAGAUAUGGGCACUUUUUGAGGAUCCAUACUCAUCGAGGGCUGCCAGGGUGGUGGCCUUCAUCUCCCUCUUCUUCAUCCUGGUCUCCAUCACAAACUUCUGCCUGGAGACACACGAGGCCUUCCAGGAGAGAAAGACGUACACAGAGAAUGUGAGCAACAGGACGGUGGAUGUGUUUGAAAUGGUGCCCACACCCGCGCUUUUCCUGGUGGAGGGCGUGUGCGUGGUCUGGUUCACCUUUGAGUUCCUGAUGCGCAUCAUGUGCUGCCCGGAUAAGCUGGUUUUCAUCAAGAACAUGCUCAACAUCAUCGAUUUUGUGGCCAUCCUGCCCUUCUACUUGGAGCUGGGCCUCAGCAGCCUCUCGUCCAAGGCCGCCAGGGACGUGCUGGGCUUCCUGCGGGUGGUCCGCUUCGUGCGGAUCCUGCGCAUCUUCAAGCUGACCCGCCAUUUUGUGGGCCUCCGCGUACUGGGCCACACGCUCCGCGCCAGCAUCAACGAGUUCUGCCUCCUCGUCAUCUUCCUCGCCCUGGGCGUGCUCAUCUUCGCCACCAUGAUCUACUACGCCGAGCGCAUGGGCGGCGACCCCCUGAACCCCACCCACCACACCCACUUCAAGAACAUCCCCAUCAGCUUCUGGUGGGCCGUGGUCACCAUGACGACCCUGGGGUACGGGGACAUGUACCCGCAGACCUGGUCAGGCAUGUUGGUGGGGGCCCUGUGCGCCCUGGCGGGGGUCCUGACCAUCGCCAUGCCCGUGCCCGUCAUCGUUAACAAUUUUGGGAUGUACUACUCCCUGGCCAUGGCCAAACAGAAGCUUCCAAAGAAGAAGAAGAAACACAAUCCCAACCCGGAUGCCCCCCCUGACUCGCCCUCAUUCGUCAAGUCCGUCAGCAACUCCCCCCGGAACAGCACCCAGAGCGACACUUGCCCACUUGCCGUUCAGGAGAAACCCCGCAACCGAUCAGACUCCAAGCAGAACGGUGAUGCCAAUCUGGUCCUGUCGGACGAGGAGGGGUACGGCCUGACGCUGUCGCCCACCAAGCGCUGGUCUCUACGCCGAUCCCGCGGCCACGACAAGACCAAGACGGAGGCGUCCUGCUUCCUGCUGACCUCCGUCGACUUCUCCUGCGCCACUGACACCCCCAUUCGCACAGCUGUUGUGCGCUAAAGGCCUGCAUUGUGUCAGGCAGCAGAGCAGUGAUUGGGCAGAGAACAGAGGCAGCGCUCCGCCCUGCGCAGCCCCGUAGGGCCGAACGCGAGGGCCACCCAGAGCUGGCCCUGGCCUGGAGGAGCAGAGAGAGCUGCAAAGAAGCCCUCGCUGCUACGGCCAAUUACGCACAGGCAGAAGUUACCACCCUGACUUGAUGGCUAUUGGUCACUUUGGGACGAGUGGGCGUGGCCCAGAGUGCAGGGCUGGAGGGGGCCAGGGGUGGCUCCACCCCCUUUCCUUCAGGCACACAGGCAGAGGCUGGAUCAUUUCUCCAGGAGGGGAACUGUCCAAGGAAACACUCUCUGUGGUGUAUAUUCAGCUCUUCAGAAGCCCUCGUUAUGUACACAUCCGUCUGUUUUAGAUGCGUCUUGCAUGUCUUGCAUGAUAUACACUGUUAUAGUAUGUAUCUUUGACAGAGAAUAACAAACUCUAUUAAUGUACUUAACACUUAGGCAGCAAUUAACUUGUAUCAUAGUUGAAUUAACUUUUAACAUUGUUAACGUUGUUGUUAACAUUUUCUCAUGAGUUGAAGUUACUCUGCAAUAUUUUUUUUAUCAAGACUGCUGCCAGAAAUGACUGCCAUAUUUGUGAACAAUGAUGUUUCUCAGCUGUGCAACAUCCAAUCAACUGGUGAUUCACUGUCCCUUAGUUUACUUUUUAUAAUUUAAAAAGCACACAGGCGUGAUGGUGCCAUUUUAGUUCAGCCUUUCACAGAUAAAACGUGAUAAAUGUUGACUGUAACACAACAGAAGUACGUGUUUGAAUAUUGCGGUGUAAAAUUGUGACCGUGAGAUAGAGUCAAGACUUUCAACAGUUGUUCCAAGUUGACUCCUACAAAAAAAAAUGAACCCAAGUGUGGCUUUGUUUGAAUUAAAACAUAACAGUAAAAGCAACUGCACGUCUGCCUUUUGUCGCGGCAGCAGAGCUAGAGUUAGUUGGAAGGAACAUGGAGCAGACAUCGAUUAUUCCACUCGUCCAUAAGCCUUCCAACGACUAUUAUGAAGACAUGUUUUAAUUCCAUAACCUUACAACACACAGUAGUUACAUUGUAGUUACUUUGCUGGUUGAAAGGGGACCAAGCGGGGGGGAAAAUUCUCCAUUUUCUGUUGCUUUAUUAGAUUAUGAUCAUGAAGAUGGCUUGCAAGCAUAUCAGUUCUGUUCCGAUUGUGCCUAAUCUGGAGUCAAUGAGGAUUUAUUGUGAGUAAUUUAAACAGGAUGAAUUGGAGAGCCUGGGCUUGGUAGCAGAACAUAAUUAAAGCUCACACUGGUUUCAGAUGUCUUUCUGAGGGUUAUAGAAGUUUGAUAUCUGAAACGCACACACACACACACACACACACACACCAGACAGGGAUAGAAGUCGCAGUGUACGUGCUCAUGUGUGAGUAAAGAUGUUGGCUCCAGUUUUCCAGUCUAGCCUGCCAUGUUUAAAAACCUUAGUUGCCUUACAGUACAUUUAACAAACAUAUAUCUAUACAGUAGCUUUCUUUGAGUUUGUGCAUGAAAUAGUGUAUCUUUGAGUUUGUACAUCAGACAUCAAUAUAUAUUUUUUAUUUUGUACGCAAAUGAUAGCACAUAUCUAGUAUGUAGCACAGUAUGCGAUUAAACAUGACAUACUACUCAAAACCUUUUAUAACCUGAACACAAGUGCAUUAACCUUUAGCUAAGUUACAGAUGCAUAUUAAAACAAAUAUGAUAAAGAGAUUAUUUUGUUAAUAUUACAGAUUUAUCGACCUGCAUUACACUUUGUCAGUUUUACUGUUGUGUUUUAAUGAGAGAGAAGCAGACAGAGAGUGUGUUGCUGGGUAGCAGUGGGUGAGCUGGAGUCACUGUAAAUGCUGGCUUCCUCAAAAUGAAGUGUUUGGUACAGUAACUGUUUUGGAUGAAACUGUAUGAAGCUGUCAAAUGUGGUGUGUCUAGGGCAAUACAGUUAAUAUCUUGUAUCCUGUAGGCAUGCAUUUCUAUGCACCUCUGCUGACAUACAAAUAAACAAUGUUUCCCAAUGUCAAAGAAA
Molecule: RNA transcript, 4661 nt
Organism: Conger conger (European conger)
Lineage: Eukaryota; Metazoa; Chordata; Actinopteri; Anguilliformes; Congridae
Gene: kcnc4
Gene name: potassium voltage-gated channel, Shaw-related subfamily, member 4
Exons: 5
Source: RefSeq, a predicted model, not a curated record